CUCCUCCUCCUCCUCCUCCUUAUUUUACUUCUUCUUCUCUAUCUCUUCUUCUAUGUAGCUUAGACUUAUCCAAGAAAGGCUAAAUUGGGUAAUUAUCCUACGAAAUGACAUAAUUAGCUGAGUUAGCUCCAAAAUGUCCUAUUUAAUAAAAAAUGACCUAUACUUAGCUAAUUAUCCUCGAAAUGACAUAAUUAGCUCCAAAAAGGCAUUCUUAGCCAAUUUAGCCCGAAGAAGGGGACACGAAGAGAAAAAGAGGAAAAUGA
RNAcentral lists this long non-coding RNA (263 nucleotides) under Hordeum vulgare. Its description in RNAcentral is "long non-coding RNA (HVUL_LNC012713)". Lineage: Eukaryota; Viridiplantae; Streptophyta; Magnoliopsida; Poales; Poaceae. The record is from RNAcentral.